CCUACGGGCGGCUGCAGUGAGGAAUAUUGGUCAAUGGACGGAAGUCUGAACCAGCCAUGCCGCGUGCAGGAAGACGGCCCUAUGAGUUGUAAACUGCUUUUGUACAAGGGUAAACCUGAAUACGUGUAUUCAGCUGAAUGUACUUUACGAAUAAGGAUCGGCUAACUCCGUGCCAGCAGCCGCGGUAAUACGGAGGAUCCAAGCGUUAUCCGGAUUUAUUGGGUUUAAAGGGUGCGUAGGCGGAUUGUUAAGUUAGAGGUGAAAUGUCCGAGCUUAACUCGGGAACUGCCUGUAAUACUGGUGGUCUAGAGAGUAGAUGCGGUAGGCGGAAUGUAUGGUGUAGCGGUGAAAUGCUUAGAGAUCAUACAGAACACCGAUUGCGAAGGCAGCUUACCAAUCUAUAUCUGACGUUGAGGCACGAAAGCGUGGGGAGCAAACAGGAUUAGAUACCCCAGUAGUC
RNAcentral lists this ribosomal RNA (460 nucleotides) under uncultured bacterium. Its description in RNAcentral is "partial 16S ribosomal RNA". It matches the Rfam family "Bacterial small subunit ribosomal RNA", at positions 338 to 795 of the family's 1533-position model. The record is from RNAcentral.